Non-coding RNA from Puma concolor (puma), 697 nucleotides. NCBI's taxonomy places the organism in Eukaryota, Metazoa, Chordata, Mammalia, Carnivora, Felidae. The record is from RefSeq and is a predicted model, not a curated record.
CAGCAGGAGCUGAGCGCUAGGCUUCCCAGGUGUCCGGAAUCCGGGUUCUCCCAGAGGAGAGAGGCUGUGACUAGUGCUGGCCGGGUUUGUACUUGUGUCCAAAUGCAGUGUCCCAGGGACUAAGUGUGGAGUCAGCCUGGGAGGUGCCCACUUGGGAGCAGCGACCCUGGAGUGGCAAAGGUGAGAAGCUGGGCAGGUCUCCGCAGUGUGCUCGGAACAGAAGACGUCCAGUCUCUCUGUCUUCAAGACAGUUGCUGAGAGCUGCGACCACGCGGUUUACAGAACUGGGGCGGCGGUCCCUUUCUGCCACCUCCCUGCUUCUGCCACCACUCUUUAUAGUAGGGUCCAGUGAUUUACCCUAAUGACCCACUGCCCUAUUUAAGCACCUCCCCACAUCUCCAGAAGAAUUUUAAAUAAGUCCUUAAGGUGGGGUAAGCUCCCACAGGCCUGUGAUUGCUGGUUUCAUUUCUUUGGCCUGCCUCCGGGUUCCCCUGGAGGAGAUGUCUGUGUGAGAAUGGAGGGAAGCGGGCACAGUAAACAGGGACGUCCUCCAGACUCGGCCAGUGGGGCGUCCAGUGGGUCAUUUUUGAUCAGCCCUGGGAUGGCAGGCAGACUCUGGAGCCUGUAAUCACAGGUUGCACGGCUGCUUGGGACGACAGCUUGAGGAUGCAGAACUCCUGCCCAAGUCAGCUGCGGC